UACAACUUCCUCAAGAGAUUCAAUCAAGUUUAAAAUACAUUACACUACAGAUAUUGAAGUGAUUAACAGAUAUGUGUAGAUAAGGGUUUUGCAGAUAUUGACAAUCAAACUUGUAGAUGAAAACCUUCGACUUGGAAAGAAGAAUAGAGUGUGGCUCUGUGAGAGCCACGGUGAGGAUGGGAGUUUGUGAUUUCGAAACUCCACGACAGUGACGAUGAGAUCUACAGUCGGUGAGGAUGAGUGAGAGGAUAUCUUGUUUUUU
RNAcentral lists this long non-coding RNA (262 nucleotides) under Lathyrus oleraceus (garden pea). RNAcentral describes it as "Pisum sativum (pea) long non-coding RNA (PSAT_LNC023229)". The record is from RNAcentral. Lineage: Eukaryota; Viridiplantae; Streptophyta; Magnoliopsida; Fabales; Fabaceae.